Molecule: long non-coding RNA, 1228 nt
Filed under: Sinocyclocheilus grahami
Lineage: Eukaryota; Metazoa; Chordata; Actinopteri; Cypriniformes; Cyprinidae
Description: lncRNA (ENSSGRG00000023105.1)
Source: RNAcentral
ACAGAAUUGAACAAGAAAGCAGAGAUGUCAGACUUACUCUGUAUUUGGUGAAAAUAAACUGCCAGUUUAAUAACCAUACAAUAAAACCUGUAAAUACCGAUGAAUUAUACUAAAAAAAAAAAAUGAUCGUAACAAAAACAAAAAAAAAGGAGGAAAAAUGCACAACCAGCUAAAGUGGAACAAAGGGAUUUAUCAGGAAGGAAAAUUAGAGUUCACAACCCCGAUCCCCAAUACACUCACUCUCACUUUCAAACACACACACACACACACACAGUUACUCUCCGUUAGCAGCACACACACUCUUACAGUCUCACUCAGACAUGCAUAAAGGACAGGGUUUGAUAAUCAGUACACAUUAAAUUCACAAACAAAAUGACUGGACCUGCUCUAAUGUCAGCAUGUCACCCUGUGAGCCAACACCCCCCCCUCCCAGCCACGGGGGCUUCGCUGAGCGUCUUCCUGCGGGUGCUGAUCAUCGUUCAGAAGGUACAGGGGAGCGGGGCUGGGAACUGGAUUUUGAGAGGGGUGGGUGCUGUAGGGUGGAAUGAGAUGGGAGGGUUGGGUGCUGUAGGGUGGAAUGAGAUGGGAGGGUUGGUGGAAGCCAUUUGUGUAUUUAAGGUGGAUGUGUGGGUGUUUGGAGAUCAGUGCGGCUCCCCUAGUUCUCGUUGUCGCCUGCUUCGUCGCCCUGGUUUUCUGACGUCCAAAGCUGCAGGUAUGAGAAUUAAUAUAAUGUAUGAGCCAAUAAAGCACUGAAACAGAAAUAACACUGGUGCAGAAUGUAUGAUGGAGGACUUACAGUGAGGUUGUCCCUUAGAAGCUGCAUGAUCAAGGUGCUGUCUUUGUAGGAGUCCUCAUUUAAAGUGUCAAGCUCAGCAAUGGCUUCAUCAAAAGCCUGUAAGAGAGGCUCUGGUUUCUCAUUUGGGUUGAAUGAGCAUUAAAUACACUGGUGCUUGUAUUGUAACAAUGUUUACUGUAGUCAAGAUUUGCAAAGAAAUAAAAUACACAUUUAUAUGAUGAAGUGUAAGAGGCUGUCCACAUAGGACACAUUCUCGUUUUUUAUGGUUUUAUAUGUACACAUGCACUAGAUGGGCAUCUUUGGCGACUGUACGGUCUCUCAAUACUUGGCAAGUUAAAAUCAGUUGAAUUUCUAUAAAAAAAAGUCUCUGUCCAAAUUUGGUUAAAUGCAAGAACUCAUCCUGUGUGAAUGGCCCCUUAUGUUGCUAGCAUU